GACUCCAGUUCUGGCUGCCCGCGGGCCUCUUUCCAACCAGCCAGGCCUCACAGAGCAAGGCAUCCCCACUGGAGAGAAUUCGAUCUGAUGUUUCAUAAAGCGCUUUAUUUAAGGAGAAGGGGCAUGGUCUGUGCUGCAGAAAUCAGAAUUUGUAGCGGCAAAGAAAACAAAGGAGAUAACAAUUGUAAUCAUAAUGACCCUCUUUAUGAAAACUCAUCUUGA
RNAcentral lists this long non-coding RNA (222 nucleotides) under Homo sapiens (human). RNAcentral describes it as "non-protein coding TBX5-AS1:7". Lineage: Eukaryota; Metazoa; Chordata; Mammalia; Primates; Hominidae. The record is from RNAcentral.